This 542-nucleotide long non-coding RNA is filed under the name Apteryx owenii (little spotted kiwi). RNAcentral describes it as "lncRNA (ENSAOWG00000016229.1)". Lineage: Eukaryota; Metazoa; Chordata; Aves; Apterygiformes; Apterygidae. The record is from RNAcentral.
AGUGAGGCUGUUUGCACCAUUUAAUUCUCCCUGCAGGUUCUACUGGAUGCAGAAAGCCUUUAGCUCAUGGUAGAAGACCUAGCCUCCGAACUACCAGAAUGGCUUGGGAAGAGGAGCAGCCACUGAAGCAGGGGCACAGAAAAGGCCUUGUACUCUCUUGAGAGGAUGGUGCAAGGAACAGCCAGCUCAAGUGCCAAGGUAGCUCAGGUAGAAAGCUGCAAACCGCAGGAAUUAAUCUUCGCUGCCAAAGGCUUCCCUGCUAAGGACUGGUCUGGAUUGGAGGGUGUGCUUGAAGCUGCAGACUGUAUGUGAGCAGGGGCACUCCCAGAGCCCCCAAUAAGGCACUGCUGGUGUCUUCCCACAGGACAGCUCAGCUCCAUCAGGAUGGCCUUACCAUGGGCACAGGGGAGAUUCCUCAGCUUGCAUCUCUCCAGACGGGUUGCUGAGGGCAAGACAAGUCUUCAAAGCACUGAAGCAGGAGAAAUAGCUGCCUUCACUCUGGCCAAAUUCUUGCAAGGAGAAAAGACAGACGUUACAUCCAU